This 68-nucleotide transfer RNA is filed under the name Pandesma quenavadi. Its description in RNAcentral is "tRNA-Arg". Lineage: Eukaryota; Metazoa; Arthropoda; Insecta; Lepidoptera; Erebidae. The record is from RNAcentral.
AAAUAAGAAGCAAAUUUUGCAUUUAAUUUCGACUUAAAAGAUUGAGUUUUUAUUCAACUCCUUAUUUA